GUAUUCCUUUCUAUUAUGGUAAACCCCGUUAGAAAUUCCUUUGGAAUAAAGGAGCGGGCUGGCGGUUCAAAUCCGUCCGUGGGCUCCA
Molecule: transfer RNA, 88 nt
Filed under: Deltaproteobacteria bacterium
Lineage: Bacteria; Pseudomonadati; Myxococcota; Myxococcia
Description: tRNA-Ser
Source: RNAcentral